This 272-nucleotide long non-coding RNA is filed under the name Lathyrus oleraceus (garden pea). RNAcentral describes it as "Pisum sativum (pea) long non-coding RNA (PSAT_LNC035552)". Lineage: Eukaryota; Viridiplantae; Streptophyta; Magnoliopsida; Fabales; Fabaceae. The record is from RNAcentral.
UUUCUCGUCACCUUCAAAACCAGGAUAAACUUUAUAUGUUUAUUUACUUUUACUUACAACUAUUUAUCAUGUCGCUGCAACAUAACUUUAUGUUCAGACUUUGAACUUGUUUAUAUUCUGAAACUAGUUUCAUAAGUACAAAAAUAAUUAUCAUACACAAUUCAACCACCUCCCCUUCUUGUGUAUUUUUCUCAUCUUCAAUUACAAUUCCACAUGCAAAAAUGCUUAUUUAUUUCCCCAUUAAGUAAUUUCCCCAUUGAGUCCUUUCAAAA